AAAGGUCCGUAACAAGGUCUCCGUUGGGUGAACCAGCGGAGGGAUCAUUACACAGUUGUAAAACUCCCAAACCAUUGUGAACGUUACCCAUCCCGUUGCUUCGGCGGGCGGCCCGGGCCCCGUGCCCGGCGCCCCCCGGCCCCUCGCGGGCGCCCGCCGGAGGUAAACCAAACUCUUGAAUUGUAUGGCCUCUCUGAGUCUUCUGUACUGAAUAAGUCAAAACUUUCAACAACGGAUCUCUUGGUUCUGGCAUCGAUGAAGAACGCAGCGAAAUGCGAUAAGUAAUGUGAAUUGCAGAAUUCAGUGAAUCAUCGAAUCUUUGAACGCACAUUGCGCCCGCCAGUAUUCUGGCGGGCAUGCCUGUUCGAGCGUCAUUUCAACCAUCAAGCCCCCGGCUUGUGUUGGGGACCUGCGGCUGCCGCAGGCCCUGAAAACCAGUGGCGGGCUCGCUAGUCACUCCGAGCGUAGUAGUUACAUCUCGCUCAGGGCGUGCUGCGGGUUCCGGCCGUUAAAAAGCCUUAUUUACCCCAAGGUUGACCUCGGAUCAGGUAGGAAGACCCGCUGAACUUAAGCAUAUCAAUAA
This 583-nucleotide ribosomal RNA is filed under the name Chaetomium sp. RNAcentral's name for it is "eukaryotic LSU rRNA". The stretch from base 221 to 374 matches the Rfam family "5.8S ribosomal RNA". Lineage: Eukaryota; Fungi; Ascomycota; Sordariomycetes; Sordariales; Chaetomiaceae. The record is from RNAcentral.